UACAGAGGGUGCAAGCGUUGUCCGGAAUCACUGGGCGUAAAGGGUGCGUAGGCGGCGCGGUAAGUCGGGUGUGAAAUCUCGGAGCUUAACUCCGAAACUGCAUUCGAUACUGCCGUGCUUGAGGACUGGAGAGGAGACUGGAAUUUACGGUGUAGCGGUGAAAUGCGUAGAUAUCGUAAGGAAGACCAGUGGCGAAGGCGGGUCUCUGGACAGUUCCUGACGCUGAGGCACGAAGGUCAGGGGAGCAAACGGG
RNAcentral lists this ribosomal RNA (253 nucleotides) under uncultured bacterium. RNAcentral's name for it is "partial 16S ribosomal RNA". It matches the Rfam family "Bacterial small subunit ribosomal RNA", at positions 524 to 776 of the family's 1533-position model. The record is from RNAcentral.